Molecule: long non-coding RNA, 572 nt
Organism: Lutra lutra (Eurasian river otter)
Lineage: Eukaryota; Metazoa; Chordata; Mammalia; Carnivora; Mustelidae
Exons: 3
Source: RefSeq, a predicted model, not a curated record
UCGAGAUUUGGUUGGAAUGGAUACAAGAGGAUUUUUCCGAUGAAACAAGAACGGAUGUUACUGCUUAAACCACAUGAAUUCAAAGGGUUUGUGUUCAGAACAGAAACUCAAAUCCAGUAUGUGCCCUCUAGUUGCUCACAGUUGAAGCGAGUGGUGGCCGCUUACUCCAAAUGGGCAUGAAGGCGUCUGUCUGGCAAGCUGUCCAUGGUCCAGAAGUCCAGUUAGGUCUGAAAGCAAAGUUCCACCCUUGACCUCCUCAGAAGAAAUAACUUCUCCAGCCCCUUCACAGAAGGACCACAGCUGCAGGAGCUUUGUGGCCCCUGGGCGUCUUAAUGGCUCCUUUUCAGAAAGUCACCUGUGACAGGCAGACAUUAUCCUGAGCUCAAGGGAGCAAAUGCACUCAAACCCCUUAGGGCCAUGCCGGCUUGGGAGCGCAGCAGGCCGAGAUGGCUUCGCGGGGACGCGGGGGCACACAGCCGGGUGCAGACGCAGGAUCAGUUACCGGAACCCUCGCCGCGGUUGCCCCCCGAAGACCCUGCCCACAGGCACGUCCCGGGGGCGGGAAUCCUUCC